Molecule: long non-coding RNA, 459 nt
Organism: Triticum aestivum (bread wheat)
Lineage: Eukaryota; Viridiplantae; Streptophyta; Magnoliopsida; Poales; Poaceae
Exons: 3
Source: RefSeq, a predicted model, not a curated record
AACCGUCAUAUCCGGCGGGCCCAAUCUUAAAAAGUACAGCACCAGCAUCACGGAGCUUCACAGGCCAUCAUUGGCCAGGUUGAGACUGAUUAUAGCGGAUUGAGCCCACACCGAGGUGUUGACAUUUUGACAAUCGCAGGCGGCCGGUCGCUGACGAAGGAAAUGGAACCCAAUGAAGGGAUCCUGAAAGUCCAUGGUACACACAUGUCAGCAACAUUUCUUUGGAAAAAUCACAUAAAAAGGGUCCCAAGAUGUAGUCCACCGAGACAGUAGAAUUGUUCUUAUCUGAUAGACCUUGUCAUCAGCAAAAAAAGGUGUUUUGUGAAUGGAAGCAGUGGGUUGAAGUUUAUCUGGAGCAGGGCAUUGUGGCACACCGUGCACUGUCCUAUUCAUCAUUUCAGAGGGUGCCAUCUUGAUGUCUGCAUUCACCCACACCGCCUACUUUGUCUUAGAUCUCCA